This 499-nucleotide ribosomal RNA is filed under the name uncultured bacterium. RNAcentral describes it as "bacterial SSU rRNA". It matches the Rfam family "Bacterial small subunit ribosomal RNA", at positions 355 to 868 of the family's 1533-position model. The record is from RNAcentral.
UGGGGAAUCUUGGACAAUGGGGGACAACCCUGAUCCAGCCAUGCCGCGUGAGUGAUGAAGGCCUUAGGGUCGUAAAGCUCUUUCGCCUGUGAAGAUAAUGACGGUAGCAGGUAAAGAAACCCCGGCUAACUCCGUGCCAGCAGCCGCGGUAAUACGGAGGGGGUUAGCGUUGUUCGGAAUUACUGGGCGUAAAGCGCACGUAGGCGGACCAGAAAGUUGGGGGUGAAAUCCCGGGGGCUCAACCCCGGAACUGCCUCCAAAACUAUUGGUCUAGAGUUCGAGAGAGGUGAGUGGAAUUCCAAGUGUAGAGGUGAAAUUCGUAGAUAUUUGGAGGAACACCAGUGGCGAAGGCGGCUCACUGGCUCGAUACUGACGCUGAGGUGCGAAAGUGUGGGGAGCAAACAGGAUUAGAUACCCUGGGUAGUCCACACCGUAAAACGAUGAAUGCCAGUCGUCGGGUAGCAUGCUAUUCGGUGACACACCUAACGGAUUAAGCAUU